AGUGAACGCUGGCGGUAGGCCUAACACAUGCAAGUCGAACGGCAGCACAGUAAGAGCUUGCUCUUACGGGUGGCGAGUGGCGGACGGGUGAGGCAUACAUCGGAAUCUACUUUUUCGUGGGUGAUAACGUAGGGAAACUUACGCUAAUACCGCAUACGACCUACGGGUGAAAGCAGGGGAUCUUCGGACCUUUCGCGAUUGAAUGAGCCGAUGUCGGAUUAGCUAGUUGGCGGGGUAAAGGCCCACCAAGGCGACGAGCCGUAGCUGGUCUGAGAGGAUGAUCAGCCACACUGGAACUGAGACACGGUCCAGACUCCUACGGGAGGCAGCAGUGGGGAAUAUUGGACAAUGGGCGAAAGCCUGAUCCAGCAAUACCGCGUGGGUGAAGAAGGCCUUCGGGUUGUAAAGCCCUUUUGUUGGGAAAGAAAAGCAGCAGGUUAAUACCCCGCUGUUCUGACGGUACCCAAAGAAUAAGCACCGGCUAACUUCGUG
RNAcentral lists this ribosomal RNA (492 nucleotides) under uncultured bacterium. Its description in RNAcentral is "partial 16S ribosomal RNA". It matches the Rfam family "Bacterial small subunit ribosomal RNA", at positions 29 to 507 of the family's 1533-position model. The record is from RNAcentral.